AUGGAAACUGAGACUACAAAAGAACAUAAUAAGAAAGGAAAGAAAGGGAGGAACGAGCCAAGCAAAAGAGGCACAACAAAGAAGGCCGUGGCACCCUUAACCGACUUGUCUGGUGAAGACAUAGCAGUGCCCAUCCACAAGAGCGAGGACAAGAAGUUUACCGUGGAAGAAGCACAAAUUGAGAAGAAAAGCAUCUCUCAAAAUAGUGCCAUUAAAACUGAGACUACAAAAGGACACCAUGAAGGAAAGAAAGAGAGAAACGGGCCAAGCAAAAGAGGUGCGGUGAAGAUGGCCAUGGCACCCUUAACCGAGUUGUCUGGUGAGAACGAGGACAAGUUUGCCGUGGAAGAAGUGCAAGUUGAGAAGAACAGCAGUGGACCAGAGCCUGCUGCAAAGAAGCCAAGGAAGACUACCAUCAGGAAGAGGGCGUCUGGUCAGAGCAAGUCCAGUGCUCCUUCUCCUGAGAAGAAGGUGCGAAAGAAGAGUGGCUCGGUUGCGCAGAGAGUUGCGAGCGCUUCAACCGCAACAGAAGACGCUGAGGCUCCUCUUCCCUCCGGCAGCUCUGCUCAGCCUGUAGCACCGAGAAGGUCAGCAAGGCACGGGAAGGCGUAA
RNAcentral lists this ribosomal RNA (612 nucleotides) under Triticum aestivum (bread wheat). RNAcentral's name for it is "partial small subunit ribosomal RNA". The record is from RNAcentral. Lineage: Eukaryota; Viridiplantae; Streptophyta; Magnoliopsida; Poales; Poaceae.